Molecule: ribosomal RNA, 1407 nt
Filed under: Nothophytophthora sp. 'californica'
Lineage: Eukaryota; Oomycota; Peronosporomycetes; Peronosporales; Peronosporaceae
Description: partial large subunit ribosomal RNA
Source: RNAcentral
GGAUUCCCCUAGUAACGGCGAGUGAAGCGGGAUGAGCUCAAGCUUAAAAUCUCCGUGCACGUUGUGCAUGGCGAAUUGUAGUCUAUAGAUGCGUGAUCAGUGCGACCGCUCGGGGUAAGUUCCUUGGAAGAGGACAGCAUCGAGGGUGAUACUCCCGUUUGUACCUGAGUGUGUUGUGCGUACGAUCCGUWUUCUUUGAGUCGCGUUGUUUGGGAAUGCAGCGCAAAGUAGGUGGUAAAUUCCAUCUAAAGCUAAAUAUUGGUGCGAGACCGAUAGCGAACAAGUACCGUGAGGGAAAGAUGAAAAGAACUUUGAAAAGAGAGUUAAAGAGUACCUGAAACUGCUGAAAGGGAACCGAAUCGUCUCCAGUGUUCUAUAAUCUGCGGCAUAUUUCAUUGGCGAGCGUGUGUGUGCGGCGCUUUUGGCAGCGGCUUAAUUGCUGCSCUUGGUGUUGCUUGUGCUUGUGCUUGCUGGUGCCCUGUGCUGYGGUGGGACGUCAAGGUCAGUUCGUAUGCUGCGGGAAAUGACUGCCGAGGAGGUAGGGCUUACMCUCYGUGUUUKUCUGUUAUWUCUUGGCGGACGUAGUAGUCGCGGUUGGGACUGAGGUGUUCUACAACGUGCUUUUGAGUGUGCGGGUGUCUCGGUGUGCGUGCUGUGCGUAUAGCUUGCUAUGUGCGCGGUUUUUUWGCGUGUCGAUUGAUGCCUGCGGUAACUUGUCGCCGUUCGGGACUUUGACGAAAUGGAGCGAUCCGACCCGUCUUGAAACACGGACCAAGGAGUCUAACAUGUGUGCAAGUGUUAGGGUGUGGAAACCCCAGCGCGCAAUGAAAGUAAAGGACAGCGURAGUUGUCUGAGGUAGGAAACUCUGGGCUCUCGGGCUCCGGGGUGGCACUAUCGACCGAUCAUGACCCCUCGUGGCGAAAGAUUUGAGUUUGAGCACAUAUGUUGGUACCCGAAAGAUGGUGAACUAUGCCUGAGUAGGGUGAAGCCAGGGGAAACUCUGGUGGAAGCUCGUAGCGAUUCUGACGUGCAAAUCGAUCGUCAAACUUGGGUAUAGGGGCGAAAGACUAAUCGAACCAUCUAGUAGCUGGUUCCCUCCGAAAUUUCCCUCAGGAUAGCAGCAACUUAUUUACGAUAGUUUUAUGAGGUAAAGCGAAUGAUUAGAGGAUUCGGGGAAGUAACUUYCUCGACCUAUUCUCAAACUUUAAAUCUGUAAGACCUGCAGGUUUCUUAAUUGAACUUGCGGAUGUGAAUAUCAAGUUGCUAGUGGGCCAUACGGGGUAAGCUCGUCUGGCGAUGCGGGAUGAACCGAACGCAAAGUUAAAGUGCCAAAAUGCCCGCUCACCUAGAUACCAUAAAAGGUGUUGGUUCAUUUAGACAGCAGGACGGUGGCCAUGGAAGUCGGA